GAAGUCUUUGACCAUAGGGUCAACCAAUUUCAGGCAUCCAGUGGAAAUUAUUAUUUCAUCCCAUACAUCGUGACACCGUGCGCUGAUUAUUUUUGCUGCGAGAGUGAUGCCCAGAGACGAGCCUCCGAGUACAUGCAGCCCAACUGGGACAACAUCCUGGGCCCGCUGUGCAUGCCUUUGGUGGACAGGUUCAUUAGCCUCCUUAAGGACAUCCACGUGACCUCAUGUGUUUAUUACAAAGAAACCUUGUUAAAUGACAUCCGGAAAGCCAGAGAGAAAUACCAAGGUGAGGAACUGGCGAAGGAGCUAGCUCGGAUCAAGCUCCGCAUGGAUAAUACUGAGGUUCUGACCUCAGACAUCAUCAUUAACUUACUCCUGUCCUACCGUGAUAUCCAGGACUAUGAUGCGAUGGUGAAGCUGGUGGAAACACUGGAGAUGCUGCCUACGUGUGAUUUGGCCGAUCAGCAUAACAUUAAAUUCCACUAUGCGUUUGCACUGAAUAGGAGAAACAGCACAGGUGACCGUGAGAAGGCUCUGCAGAUCAUGCUCCAGGUUCUGCAGAGCUGUGAUCACCCGGGCCCCGACAUGUUCUGCCUGUGUGGGAGGAUCUACAAGGACAUCUUCUUGGAUUCAGACUGCAAAGAUGACACCAGCCGCGACAGCGCCAUUGAGUGGUAUCGCAAAGGGUUUGAACUCCAGUCAUCUCUCUAUUCGGGAAUUAAUCUUGCAGUUUUGCUGAUUGUUGCUGGACAACAAUUUGAAACUUCCUUGGAACUAAGGAAAAUAGGUGUCCGGCUGAACAGUUUGUUGGGAAGAAAAGGGAGCUUGGAGAAAAUGAAGAAUUACUGGGAUGUGGGUCAGUUCUUCAGCGUCAGCAUGCUGGCCAAUGAUGUCGGGAAAGCCGUCCAGGCAGCAGAGAGGUUGUUCAAACUGAAACCUCCAGUCUGGUACCUGCGAUCAUUAGUUCAGAACUUGUUACUAAUUCGGCGCUUCAAGAAACCCAUUAUUGAACACUCACCCAGGCAAGAGCGGCUGAACUUCUGGUUAGAUAUAAUUUUUGAGGCAACAAAUGAAGUCACGAAUGGACUCAGAUUUCCAUUAUGAAAUAUUUCAAACCUACUGAAAGGUACAAAAAAAUAAUGGAGCAGACAACCGCGUAAUCUCUAACCAGGUUCUGGUCAUAGAGCCAACCAAAGUGUACCAGCCUUCUUAUGUUUCCAUAAACAAUGAAGCUGAGGAGAGAACAGUUUCUUUAUGGCAUGUCUCACCCACAGAAAUGAAACAGAUGCACGAAUGGAAUUUUACAGCCUCUUCCAUAAAGGGAAUAAGGCUGGAGUACAGUGGCAAGAUCUCGGCUCACUGCAACCUCUGCCUCCCAGGUUCAAGCGAUUCUCCUGCCUCAGCCUCCAGAGUAGCUGGGACUACAGCCUAUCAAAGUUUGAUGAAAGGUGUUGUUUUCUUUAUGUCCAUGAUAAUUCUGAUGACUUUCAAAUCUACUUUUCCACCGAAGAGCAGUGCAGUAGAUUUUUCUCUUUGGUCAAAGAGAUGAUAACCAAUACAGCAGGCAGUACAGUGGAGCUGGAGGGAGAGACCGAUGGAGACACCUUGGAGUAUGAGUAUGACCAUGAUGCAAAUGGUGAGAGAGUUGUCUUGGGGAAAGGCACGUAUGGGAUUGUGUAUGCUGGCCGAGAUCUGAGCAAUCAAGUGCGAAUAGCCAUCAAAGAAAUCCCGGAGAGAGAUAGCAGGUAUUCUCAGCCUCUGCACGAGGAGAUAGCCCUGCACAAGUACCUUAAGCACCGCAAUAUCGUUCAGUACCUGGGCUCUGUUUCAGAGAACGGCUACAUUAAGAUAUUUAUGGAGCAGGUGCCUGGAGGAAGCCUUUCUGCUCUUCUGCGAUCCAAAUGGGGGCCGAUGAAGGAACCGACAAUCAAGUUUUACACCAAACAGAUCCUGGAGGGCCUUAAGUAUCUUCAUGAAAACCAGAUCGUGCACAGAGACAUAAAGGGCGAUAAUGUUCUGGUGAACACCUACAGCGGAGUGGUGAAAAUCUCCGAUUUUGGAACCUCGAAACGUCUUGCGGGUGUGAACCCCUGCACAGAGACUUUCACUGGCACCCUGCAGUACAUGGCACCUGAGAUAAUUGACCAAGGGCCUCGCGGAUAUGGUGCCCCAGCCGAUAUCUGGUCCCUGGGCUGCACCAUCAUUGAGAUGGCCACCAGCAAGCCUCCGUUCCAUGAGCUUGGUGAGCCGCAGGCAGCCAUGUUCAAAGUGGGCAUGUUUAAGAUCCACCCUGAGAUUCCAGAAGCCCUUUCAGCUGAAGCCCGAGCCUUCAUUUUAUCCUGUUUCGAGCCUGACCCCCACAAACGUGCCACCACUGCUGAGCUACUGAGAGAGGGUUUCUUAAGGCAGGUGAAGAAGGGCAAGAAGAACCGAAUUGCCUUCAAGCCCUCAGAAGGUCCCCGCGGUGUCGUCCUGGCCCUGCCCACACAGGGGGAGCCCAUGGCCACCAGCAGUAGCGAGCACGGCUCUGUCUCCCCAGACUCCGACGCCCAGCCUGACGCACUCUUUGAGAGGACCCGGGCGCCCAGGCACCACCUUGGCCACCUCCUCAGUGUUCCAGACGAGAGCUCAGCCUUGGAAGACCGGGGCUUGGCCUCGUCCCCGGAGGACAGGGACCAGGGCCUCUUCCUGCUACGCAAGGACAGUGAGCGCCGUGCCAUCCUGUACAAAAUCCUCUGGGAGGAGCAGAACCAGGUGGCUUCCAACCUGCAGGAGUGUGUGGCCCAGAGUUCCGAAGAGUUGCAUCUCUCAGUUGGACACAUCAAGCAAAUCAUUGGGAUCCUGAGGGACUUCAUCCGCUCCCCAGAGCACCGGGUGAUGGCGACCACAAUAUCAAAGCUCAAGGUGGACCUGGACUUUGACAGCUCGUCCAUCAGUCAGAUUCACCUGGUGCUGUUCGGAUUUCAGGAUGCCGUAAAUAAAAUUUUGAGGAACCACUUAAUUAGGCCCCACUGGAUGUUCGCGAUGGACAACAUCAUCCGCCGAGCGGUGCAGGCCGCGGUCACCAUUCUCAUCCCAGAGCUCCGAGCCCACUUUGAGCCUACCUGUGAGACUGAAGGGGUAGAUAAGGACAUGGAUGAAGUGGAAGAGGGCUAUCCCCCAGCCACCGGACCUGGCCAGGAGGCCCAGCCCCACCAGCAGCACCUGAGCCUCCAGCUGGGUGAGCUCAGACAGGAGACCAACAGACUUUUGGAACACCUAGUUGAAAAAGAGAGAGAGUACCAGAAUCUUCUGCGGCAAACUCUAGAACAGAAAACUCAAGAAUUGUAUCACCUUCAGUUAAAAUUAAAAUCGAAUUGUAUUACAGAGAACCCAGCAGGCCCCUACGGGCAGAGAACAGAUAAAGAGCUUAUAGACUGGUUGCGGCUGCAAGGAGCUGAUGCAAAGACAAUUGAAAAGGUAAAUUUACAACAAAGAAAUUCUUAUGCUGUUGUUACACAGCUGCUCAGCUCUUAAGGAUCUGAUCUUUGUUUCAGAUUGUUGAAGAGGGUUAUACACUUUCGGAUAUUCUUAAUGAGAUCACUAAGGAAGAUCUAAGAUACCUUCGACUACGGGGUGGUCUCCUCUGCAGACUCUGGAGUGCGGUCUCCCAGUACAGAAGCGCUCAGGAGGCCUCAGAAACCAAAGACAAGGCUUGAUACCAAUCAGCUAAGCUGUGGCAGAGUGUCCCACCACGCUACAUGUUUUGUUAAAGCUUCUGUUAGUGUAUACACGAAUUCCGCUGUGUUUACAUAUUUAAAAAUGCCAUUGUUCAAUUAAUAGUUUAAGAACUUGUUUUAAAUACUGUCCUGAGUUUCUUUUGAAACCUGUUAUUUACAAACAUAGAACUGUGUGUAUUGUGAAAACAGUGAGCCUUGGUUUUGACCUCCCGGAAUAUUAGGAAAUUCACCUGUAGUCCCAGCUACGCAGGAGGCUGAGGUGGGAGGAUUGCUUGAGCCCAGGAGGUGUGGAGGCUGCAGUGAGCCAUGAUCACACCACUGCACUCCAGCCUGGGCAACAGAGCCCGACCCUGUCUCAAAAAAAACACCCUUCAGCACUUGCUGGAAUGGUGAAACAAGGGGUAUUUAACAAACAAACAAACAUGGAAGCUGGGACACUGCCUCAGAACUGGUAUGGUACUUAAAUUUGAGAAACACAAAAUUGAUACGAAUGUGCCUUGUAGUUAACGUUUGAUAUGAACAGAAAAUAGCUUCAUAUUUAUACUGAAUGUGUAAGUAGAGAAAACUAAGUUAUGUGGCCUUUGAAAUGAUUGAUUACAUUGAUUACAUUGAAAUGAUUACAAAAGUCUUAUUUUAAAAUGGAACUGUCCUCUUGCCUGAUAAUAAAUAUUGUAUCUUGUAGAG
This 4403-nucleotide small RNA is filed under the name Pan troglodytes (chimpanzee). Its description in RNAcentral is "processed transcript". The record is from RNAcentral. Lineage: Eukaryota; Metazoa; Chordata; Mammalia; Primates; Hominidae.